GGUUAAGCGACUAAGCGUACACGGUGGAUGCCCUGGCAGUCAGAGGCGAUGAAGGACGUGCUAAUCUGCGAAAAGCGCCGGCGAGGUGAUAUGAACCCUUGACCCGGCGAUGUCCGAAUGGGGAAACCCAGUGUGAUUCGUCACACUAUCGUUAACUGAAUACAUAGGUUAACGAGGCGAACCGGGGGAACUGAAACAUCUAAGUACCCCGAGGAAAAGAAAUCAACCGAGAUUCCCCCAGUAGCGGCGAGCGAACGGGGAGCAGCCCGGAGUCUGAAUCAGCUUGUGUGUUAGUGGAACGGUCUGGAAAGUCCGACGGUACAGGGUGAUAGUCCCGUACACGAAAGCACACUUGCUGUGAACUCGAAGAGUAGGGCGGGACACGUGGUAUCCUGUCUGAAUAUGGGGGGACCAUCCUCCAAGGCUAAAUACUCCUGACUGACCGAUAGUGAACCAGUACCGUGAGGGAAAGGCGAAAAGAACCCCGGCGAGGGGAGUGAAAAAGAACCUGAAACCGUGUACGUACAAGCAGUGGGAGCACCUUCGUGGUGUGACUGCGUACCUUUUGUAUAAUGGGUCAGCGACUUAUAUUCUGUAGCAAGGUUAACCGUAUAGGGGAGCCGAAGGGAAACCGAGUCUUAACUGGGCGUUAAGUUGCAGGGUAUAGACCCGAAACCCGGUGAUCUAGCCAUGGGCAGGUUGAAGGUUGGGUAACACUAACUGGAGGACCGAACCGACUAAUGUUGAAAAAUUAGCGGAUGACCUGUGGCUGGGGGUGAAAGGCCAAUCAAACCGGGAGAUAGCUGGUUCUCCCCGAAAGCUAUUUAGGUAGCGCCUCGUGAACUCAUCUUCGGGGGUAGAGCACUGUUUCGGCUAGGGGGCCAUCCCGGCUUACCAACCCGAUGCAAACUACGAAUACCGAAGAAUGUUAUCACGGGAGACACACGGCGGGUGCUAACGUCCGUCGUGAAGAGGGAAACAACCCAGACCGCCAGCUAAGGUCCCAAAGUCAUGGUUAAGUGGGAAACGAUGUGGGAAGGCACAGACAGCCAGGAUGUUGGCUUAGAAGCAGCCAUCAUUUAAAGAAAGCGUAAUAGCUCACUGGUCGAGUCGGCCUGCGCGGAAGAUGUAACGGGGCUAAACCAUGCACCGAAGCUGCGGCAGCGACACUAUGUGUUGUUGGGUAGGGGAGCGUUCUGUAAGCCGUUGAAGGUGUGCUGUGAGGCAUGCUGGAGGUAUCAGAAGUGCGAAUGCUGACAUAAGUAACGAUAAAGCGGGUGAAAAGCCCGCUCGCCGGAAGACCAAGGGUUCCUGUCCAACGUUAAUCGGGGCAGGGUGAGUCGACCCCUAAGGCGAGGCCGAAAGGCGUAGUCGAUGGGAAACAGGUUAAUAUUCCUGUACUUGGUGUUACUGCGAAGGGGGGACGGAGAAGGCUAUGUCAGCCGGGCGACGGUUGUCCCGGUUUAAGCAUGUAGGCGGAGGUUCCAGGUAAAUCCGGUACCUUAUUAACGCUGAGGUGUGAUGACGAGGCACUACGGUGCUGAAGUGAUAAAUGCCCUGCUUCCAGGAAAAGCCUCUAAGCAUCAGGUAACACGAAAUCGUACCCCAAACCGACACAGGUGGUCAGGUAGAGAAUACCAAGGCGCUUGAGAGAACUCGGGUGAAGGAACUAGGCAAAAUGGUGCCGUAACUUCGGGAGAAGGCACGCUGAUGUGUAGGUGAAG
Molecule: ribosomal RNA, 1724 nt
Filed under: Enterobacter hormaechei
Lineage: Bacteria; Pseudomonadati; Pseudomonadota; Gammaproteobacteria; Enterobacterales; Enterobacteriaceae
Also listed under: 1 other name
Description: partial 23S ribosomal RNA
Rfam family: Bacterial large subunit ribosomal RNA
Source: RNAcentral